Molecule: ribosomal RNA, 1027 nt
Filed under: Salmonella enterica subsp. enterica serovar Typhimurium
Lineage: Bacteria; Pseudomonadati; Pseudomonadota; Gammaproteobacteria; Enterobacterales; Enterobacteriaceae
Also listed under: 1 other name
Description: partial 23S ribosomal RNA
Rfam family: Bacterial large subunit ribosomal RNA
Source: RNAcentral
AGACCCGAAACCCGGUGAUCUAGCCAUGGGCAGGUUGAAGGUUGGGUAACACUAACUGGAGGACCGAACCGACUAAUGUUGAAAAAUUAGCGGAUGACCUGUGGCUGGGGGUGAAAGGCCAAUCAAACCGGGAGAUAGCUGGUUCUCCCCGAAAGCUAUUUAGGUAGCGCCUCGUGAAUUCAUCUCCGGGGGUAGAGCACUGUUUCGGCUAGGGGGCCAUCCCGGCUUACCAACCCGAUGCAAACUGCGAAUACCGGAGAAUGUUAUCACGGGAGACACACGGCGGGUGCUAACGUCCGUCGUGAAGAGGGAAACAACCCAGACCGCCAGCUAAGGUCCCAAAGUCAUGGUUAAGUGGGAAACGAUGUGGGAAGGCCCAGACAGCCAGGAUGUUGGCUUAGAAGCAGCCAUCAUUUAAAGAAAGCGUAAUAGCUCACUGGUCGAGUCGGCCUGCGCGGAAGAUGUAACGGGGCUAAACCAUGCACCGAAGCUGCGGCAGCGAACGUAUCACCCAAGACAACUUUACGGAGUUGACGAUUGACGGAGCGAAGCGACGUCAAAGCGUUCAUUAAAGUCGAGUUGGCUUAGGGAUACGUUCGUUGGGUAGGGGAGCGUUCUGUAAGCCUGUGAAGGUGUGUCGUGAGGCAUGCUGGAGGUAUCAGAAGUGCGAAUGCUGACAUAAGUAACGAUAAAGCGGGUGAAAAGCCCGCUCGCCGGAAGACCAAGGGUUCCUGUCCAACGUUAAUCGGGGCAGGGUGAGUCGACCCCUAAGGCGAGGCCGAAAGGCGUAGUCGAUGGGAAACGGGUUAAUAUUCCCGUACUUGGUGUUACUGCGAAGGGGGGACGGAGAAGGCUAUGUUGGCCGGGCGACGGUUGUCCCGGUUUAAGCGUGUAGGUGUGUGUUCCAGGUAAAUCCGGUUCACUUUAACACUGAGGCGUGAUGACGAGGCACUACGGUGCUGAAGCAACAAAUGCCCUGCUUCCAGGAAAAGCCUCUAAGCAUCAGGUAACAUCAAAUCGUACCCCA